GGGGAAUUUUGGACAAUGGGCGAAAGCCUGAUCCAGCCAUGCCGCGUGCAGGAUGAAGGCCUUCGGGUUGUAAACUGCUUUUGUACGGAACGAAAAGGUCUUUUCUAAUAAAGAAGGCUCAUGACGGUACCGUAAGAAUAAGCACCGGCUAACUACGUGCCAGCAGCCGCGGUAAUACGUAGGGUGCAAGCGUUAAUCGGAAUUACUGGGCGUAAAGCGUGCGCAGGCGGUUAUAUAAGACAGAUGUGAAAUCCCCGGGCUCAACCUGGGAACUGCAUUAGUGACUGUAUAGCUAGAGUGCGGCAGAGGGGGAUGGAAUUCCGCGUGUAGCAGUGAAAUGCGUAGAGAUCGGGAGGAACAUCAGUGGCGAAGGCGACUGCCUGGGCCAACACUGACACUGAGGCACGAAAGCGUGGGGAGCAAACA
This 426-nucleotide ribosomal RNA is filed under the name uncultured Simplicispira sp. Its description in RNAcentral is "bacterial SSU rRNA". It matches the Rfam family "Bacterial small subunit ribosomal RNA", at positions 356 to 774 of the family's 1533-position model. The record is from RNAcentral. Lineage: Bacteria; Pseudomonadati; Pseudomonadota; Betaproteobacteria; Burkholderiales; Comamonadaceae.